ACGGAAGGCAGCAGUGGGGAAUAUUGGGCAAUGGGCGAAAGCCUGACCCAGCGACGCCGCGUGAAGGAAGAAGGCCUUCGGGUUGUAAACUUCAGUCAACAGGGAAGAAACAAAUGACGGUACCUGUGGAGGAAGCCACGGCUAACUACGUGCCAGCAGCCGCGGUAAUACGUAGGUGGCGAGCGUUAUCCGGAUUUACUGGGUGUAAAGGGUGUGUAGGCGGGACUGCAAGUCAGAUGUGAAAAUUAUGGGCUCAACCCAUAACCUGCAUUUGAGACUGUGGUUCUUGAGUGUCGGAGAGGUAAAUGGAAUUCCCAGUGUAGCGGUGAAAUGCGUAGAUAUUGGGAGGAACACCAGUGGCGAAGGCGGUUUACUGGACGACAACUGACGCUGAGACACGAAAGCGUGGGGAGCAAACAGGAUUAGAUACCCUGGUA
This 437-nucleotide ribosomal RNA is filed under the name uncultured Oscillospiraceae bacterium. RNAcentral's name for it is "partial 16S ribosomal RNA". It matches the Rfam family "Bacterial small subunit ribosomal RNA", at positions 341 to 792 of the family's 1533-position model. Lineage: Bacteria; Bacillati; Bacillota; Clostridia; Eubacteriales; Oscillospiraceae. The record is from RNAcentral.